AUACGGAGGGUGCAAGCGUUGUUCGGAAUCACUGGGCGUAAAGGGCGCGCAGGCGGUUUGGUAAGUCAGAUGUGAAAGCCCACGGCUCAACCGUGGAAGUGCAUUUGAAACUGUCAGACUUGAGUACUGGAGGGGAAAGUGGAAUUCCCGGUGUAGAGGUGAAAUUCGUAGAUAUCGGGAGGAAUACCGGUGGCGAAGGCGACUUUCUGGCUAGAUACUGACGCUGAGGCGCGAAAGCGUGGGGAGCAAACAGGAUUAGAAACCCUAGUAGUCC
Molecule: ribosomal RNA, 274 nt
Filed under: uncultured bacterium
Lineage: Bacteria
Description: partial 16S ribosomal RNA
Rfam family: Bacterial small subunit ribosomal RNA
Source: RNAcentral